Carassius carassius (crucian carp) is the source of this 1020-nucleotide long non-coding RNA. RefSeq lists it as uncharacterized. The record is from RefSeq and is a predicted model, not a curated record. The transcript has 5 exons. Lineage: Eukaryota; Metazoa; Chordata; Actinopteri; Cypriniformes; Cyprinidae.
AAUGCGAAAGUAUAUAAAAAGAUAAUUUCUGGAGUAAUGAUUUGUGAACAUAAAUACCGUCUCAUACGCCCAGCUGCCAACCAUUAAUUGUAUCGCUGGAUUAAACAAUAAUAGUGUUUUUUUUUAGUUGGAUCUGUUUUUUUAGUCGAGUGAUUUGUUAAUCAAUCACACAGAAUCGUCCGAGCGUUUUAAUGAGUGGGUUUUAUCUUUGAAGGAACUGAAGGAGCCGAUUCGCUUAAACGAACUGGAGGCGGUCUCUUUAAAUAUCCCAGAAUUCCUCACACCGCUCACACGUGUUCAUUGCUUUCUGCACAGUCGCACAAAGAUCACACGAUCGGUCAGACACAGCAUGGACGGACGCAGUAUGGGCGUUGAUUGUCCAUCUGAACCCCCUGACUGAAGAGAAACUUGCCAGUUUCUACUAUGUCUUCCCUGUAAAGGAUCUCCUAUUGGUUUGGCCCUGAGGCCACAGUUGUGCUGAAGAGUCCUUCUGUAACCAUUAACUGCCAAUGGCAAAGGCAGAGAAUGUAAGAACUACAGUCAUUAGGUGAGUAACUUGAGCAUAUCUUUUUUUUGCUUUCUCAUGAUCCCUUCUAUGCUUUGCCCACUGGAGGCUGUCUGUGUUUCUAGUGGUCAUAUCAGGGGGGUAGAGUAAGCUACUCUUGCUAAAACCUGGGUCAGAGGUCACUUCUCUGUGCUUGGAUCCUGUCGCAAGACACAUUCAUAUAAGAAUUUAAAUGCAGGCAGUGUUUAAUGAAUGCAUAACCUGGUUUGUUUGAGUUUAAAGUGAACCGAGAUUUUUCCUUUUCUCUUAACAGAUUCCAUUGAUGGUUUCAUUUCGGGGCACAUGUUUCCAGUGACAGACUUGUUCCUCGGAUGGGAUGCAGCUUGAGUAGAGCUCAAUUUUAUUGCCAUGUUUGGAGAAUGUAAAAUGAGUGUGUUAAACCAUGCGUUGAUGUAUUGCACAAUUUUGAAAGUUAUGCAUUUAUUGUUACCAAUAAAGAAAUAUGCUUGCUUGUA